UACGAAGGGGGCGAGCGUUGUUCGGAAUCACUGGGCGUAAAGGGCGCGUAGGCGGCCCUUCUUGUCGCGUGUGAAAGCCCCGGGCUCAACCUGGGAACUGCAUUUGAUACGGGCGAGCUUGAAUCCAAGAGAGGGUGGUGGAAUUCCCAGUGUAGAGGUGAAAUUCGUAGAUAUUGGGAAGAACACCAGUGGCGAAGGCGGCCACCUGGCUUGGUAUUGACGCUGAGGCGCGAAAGCGUGGGGAGCAAACAGG
Molecule: ribosomal RNA, 253 nt
Filed under: uncultured bacterium
Lineage: Bacteria
Description: partial 16S ribosomal RNA
Rfam family: Bacterial small subunit ribosomal RNA
Source: RNAcentral